Long non-coding RNA from Dreissena polymorpha, 2764 nucleotides. RefSeq lists it as uncharacterized. Lineage: Eukaryota; Metazoa; Mollusca; Bivalvia; Myida; Dreissenidae. The record is from RefSeq and is a predicted model, not a curated record. The transcript is spliced from 2 exons.
CUUUGGUAUGCUUGGACCUAGAGUCUUCAAACUUGACAUGAAGGUUGGCCAGGAUUAACAGAUGACCACUGGUCAUUUCAAGGUCAUUCAUUUGAAGGUCAAGGUCACUGUGACCUUCAAUAUAAAAAAUGUUAAAGUUGUUAUAACUUUGGUAUGCUUGGACCUAGAGUCUUGAAACUUGACAUGAAGGUUGGCCAUAACUAGUUAGUAACCACUGGUCAUUUCAAGGUCAUUCAUUUGAAGGUCAAGGUCACUGUGACCUUGAAUGUAAAAAUGUUAAAAUGUUAAAGUUCUUAUUUCAUGGUAUAACUUUGGUAUGCUUGGACCUAGAGUCUUCAAACUUGACAUGAAGGUUGGCCAGGAUUAACAGAUGACCACUGGUCAUUUCAAGGUCAUUCAUUUGAAGGUCAAGGUCACUGUGACCUUCAAUAUAAAAAAUGUUAAAGUUGUUAUAACUUUGGUAUGCUUUGACCUAGAGUCUUGAAACUUGACAUGAAGGUUGGCCAGAACUAGUAAGUAACCACUGGACAUUUCAAGGUCAUUCAUUUGAAGGUCAAGGUCACUGUGACCUUGAAUGUAAAAAUGUUAAAGUUGUUAUAACUUUGGUAUGCUUGGACCUAGAGUCUUGAAACUUGACAUGAAGGUUGGCCAGAACUAGUAAGUAACCACUGGACAUUUCAAGGUCAUUCAUUUGAAGGUCAAGGUCACUGUGACCUUGAAUGUAAAAAUGUUAAAGUUCUUAUUUCAUGUUAUAACUUUGGUAUGCUUGUACCUAGAGUCUUCAAACUUGAAAUAAAGAUUGGCCAGUACUAGAAGAUGACCACUGGUCAUUUCAAUGUCAUUCAUUUGAAGGUCAAGGUCACUGUGACCUUAAAUGUUAAAAUGUUAAAAUUGUUAUAACUUUGGUAUGCUUGGACAUAGAGUCUCAAACUUGACAUGAAGGUUUGCAAGCACACUUAGAUGACCACUGGUCAUUUCAAGGUCAUUCAUUCUAAGGUCAAGGUCACUGUGACCUUGAAUGUAAAAAUGUUAAAGUUCUUAUAACUUUGGUAGGUAAAAAUGUUAAAGUUCUUAUUCCAUGUUAUAACUUUGGUAUGCUUGUACCUAGAGUCUUCAAACUUGACAUAAAGGUUGGCCAGUACUAGAAGAUCACCACUGCUCAUUUCAAUGUCAUUCAUUUGAAGGUCAAGGUCACUGUGACCUUCAAUGUUAAAAUGUUAAACAUAGGUUUGCUCAUGCCUUGAAAAGUACUUACAUUUCAUUUUGACCUUUGAACAAUAUUUCAGUAAUUUAAGUAUUGCAUUGACAAAAACACGAAAGGUACUUUCCUGUCAUUUAAAUCAAAAAUCCGGCUUCAAUGCGGUCAUCUCCGACCGCGGAACUCUUGUUAGUUAAUUUAGAUUACUAAAAAUUAAUAUUAUAUUUAUGCCCCCCUUGGAAGAAGAGGGGUAUAUUGUUUUGCACAUGUCAGUUGGUUGGUCCGUCCGUCCACCAGAUGGUUUCCUGAUGAUAACUCAAGAACGCUUUGGCCUAGGAUCAUGAAACUUCAUAGGUUUAUUGAUCUCGAAAUAGUAAAAUGGUUUCCGGAUGAUAACUCUAGAACGCUUACGCCUAGGAUCAUGAAACUUCAUAGGUACAUUGAUGAUGACUCGCAGAUGACCUCUAUUGAUUUUCAGGUCACUAAGUCAAAGGUCAAGGUCACAGUGACUCGAAAUAGAAAAAUGGUUUCCGGAUGAUAACUCAUAAAUGCUUACGCCUAGGAUCAUAAAAUAAAAAAAUCAUAGGUAUAUUGAUCAUGACUGGCGAAUGGUCCCUAUUGAUUUUCAGGUCACUUGGUCAAAGGUCAAGGUCACAGUGAAUCAAAAUACUAAAAUGGUUUCUGGAAGAUAACUCAACAAUGCUCACGCCUAAGAUCAUGAACUUCAUAGGAACAUUGAUCAUAACUGGCAGAUGACCUCUAUUGAUUUUCAGGUCACUAGGUCAAAGGUCAAAGUCACAGUGACUCAAAAUAGUAAAAUGGUUUCCUGAUGAUAACUCAAGAAUGCUUAGGCCUAGCAUCAUGAAACUUCAUGGGUACAUUGAUCAUUACUGGCAGAUGACCCCUAUUGAUUCUCAGGUCACUAGGUCAAAGGUCACAGUGACUCAAAACAGUAAAAUGAUUUAUGGAUGAUAACUCAAGAAUGCUUACGCCUAGGAUCAUGAAACUUUAUAGGAACAUUGAUCAUGACUGGGAGAUGACUCCUAUUGAUUUUCCGGUCACUAGGUCAAAGGUCAAUGUCACAGUUACUCGAAACAGUAAAAUGGUUUCAUGAUGAUAACUCAAGAAUGAUUACGCCUAGGACCAUGAAACUUCAUAGGUACAUUGAUAAUGACUGGCAGAUGACCCCCUUCAUAGGUACAUUGAUAAUGACUGGUAGAAGACCCCUAUUGAUUUUCAGGUCACUAGGUCAAAGAUUAAGGUCAUAGUGACUCAAAACAGUUUAAUGGUUUCCUGUUGAUAGCUCAAGAAUACUUAGGUCUAUGAUCAUGAAACUUCUCAAGUACAUUGAUCAUGACUGGCAGAUGACCCCUAUUGAUUUUCAGGUCACUAGGUCAAAAGUCAAGUUCACAGUGACAAAAACGUUUUCACAAUGGCUGCCACUACAACUGACAGCCCAUAUGGGGGGCAUGCAUGUUUUACAAACAGCCCUUGUUCUGUGUUAAAAUUAUGUACACGUCUGCGUUAAAUAAAUAUGUUCACAUUUGAAAUAAAGCUAAAAAUGUG